CAGUAGGAUAAGAUGUGCGCACUAUUGGAUGUGCGUCUAAGCAUUUAGGCAUGCUUGAUAGGCAAAUCCGUCAGGCUAAGCUGAGAUGUUAUGGGGAGCCAAAUGUGGCGAAGUAUCUGAUUCCACACUGCCAAGAAAAGCCUCUAUCGAGUAAAUAGGUGCCCGUACCGCAAACCGACACAGGUAGGUGAGGAGAGAAUCCUAAGGCCAUCGGAAGAAUUGCUGUUAAGGAACUCGGCAAAUUGACCCCGUAACAUCGGGAGAAGGGGUGCCUACGAAAGUAGGCCGCAGAGAAUAGGCCCAAGCAACUGUUUAGCAAAAACACAGGUCUCUGCUAAAGCGAAAGCAGAUGUAUAGGGGCUGACGCCUGCCCGGUGAUGGAAGGUUAAGGGGAACACUUAGCGUAAGCGAAGGUGUGAACUUAAGCCCCAGUAAACGGCGGCCGUAACUAUAACGGUCCUAAGGUAGCGAAAUUCCUUGUCGGGUAAGUUCCGACCCGCACGAAUGGCGUAAUGAUUUGGGCACUGUCUCAACAGCAAAUCCGGCGAAAUUGUAGUGCAAGUGAAGAUGCUUGCUACCCGCGAUUGGACGGAAAGACCCCGUAGAGCUUUACUGUAGCUUAGCAUUGAAUC
Molecule: non-coding RNA, 632 nt
Filed under: Clostridium tepidum
Lineage: Bacteria; Bacillati; Bacillota; Clostridia; Eubacteriales; Clostridiaceae
Description: bacterial LSU rRNA
Rfam family: Bacterial large subunit ribosomal RNA
Source: RNAcentral